This 399-nucleotide transfer RNA is filed under the name uncultured marine alpha proteobacterium. RNAcentral's name for it is "16S-23S intergenic spacer region". The stretch from base 99 to 172 matches the Rfam family "tRNA". Lineage: Bacteria; Pseudomonadati; Pseudomonadota; Alphaproteobacteria. The record is from RNAcentral.
UCUAAGGAUGAAUGAAAGUAAAAUUUCAUUCUAAAUAAUAUACAGGUAAUGUUGACCGUCCUCAUUUCUCUUCUUAAAAAAGUGUUUCUCUUGCAUGGGGGCCGGUAGCUCAGUUGGUUAGAGCACACCCUUGAUAAGGGUGGGGUCGAAAGUUCGAGUCUUUCUCGGCCCACCAAAUAAAGAUCAUGGGGGAUUAGCUCAGCUGGGAGAGCGCCUGAUUUGCAUUCAGGAGGUCAGCGGUUCGAUCCCGCUAUCCUCCACCAAAAACACUUAGUUAUAAAAAUUGUGAAUAUAAAUAAUAAUUAAUAUCAAUAUCUAUAUCCGAACAUUAGUAAUGUUAUUAGCUAAUGUUCAAAAUAAAAAUUUGAUUCAACACAGAAUUUUUUUCUGUGCAUAAAU